Molecule: ribosomal RNA, 174 nt
Filed under: uncultured Ethanoligenens sp.
Lineage: Bacteria; Bacillati; Bacillota; Clostridia; Eubacteriales; Oscillospiraceae
Description: partial 16S ribosomal RNA
Rfam family: Bacterial small subunit ribosomal RNA
Source: RNAcentral
ACUCCUACGGGAGGCAGCAGUGGGGGAUAUUGCACAAUGGAGGAAACUCUGAUGCAGCGACGCCGCGUGAGGGAAGAAGGUCUUCGGAUUGUAAACCUCUGUCUUUGGGGACGAAUCAAUGACGGUACCCAAGGAGGAAGCCACGGCUAACUACGUGCCAGCAGCCGCGGUAAU